GCGGGUAUGGUGUAACGGUAGCAUACGACCCUUCCAAGGUCUUGGUGAGGAUUCGAAUUCCUCUACCCGCUCAA
This 74-nucleotide transfer RNA is filed under the name Chloroflexota bacterium. Its description in RNAcentral is "Chloroflexi bacterium (sediment metagenome) tRNA-Gly". It matches the Rfam family "tRNA". Rfam says of the family: Transfer RNA (tRNA) molecules are approximately 80 nucleotides in length. Their secondary structure includes four short double-helical elements and three loops (D, anti-codon, and T loops). The record is from RNAcentral. Lineage: Bacteria; Bacillati; Chloroflexota.